AAAGCGAAUUAAUUUUUAUCCGUUUCUUAGUACUUCUGCUAAUAUAAAACAAAAAACAAAACAAAAAAAGUUUCUACACAUUAAAACAUAUAUACACAUACAUACACAUACAUACACAUAUACAUAUAUACCCCUUAAAACAACAUAAUGCAUAGACUAACUUUGUUUUUUACUAUUUUAGUACUUAGCUUAUUCACACAAAUCGUUGGAUACACUAAACAUGCAAAUAAAAAGAAAAGACAAAAUGUAGCUUUAAAAAAACAAAAUAAUUUAAAUAAUAAUAUAAAUGAUUACAGUUUUAUGUUAUCUAAGGAAGAUAACAAUAAAAAGGAAAGUGGUUAUAACAAUAAUUUGAAAUCAGAAAAACAAAAUGAUGACACCAAUAAUGAUAACGAAAAAAAAACAGAAGAUAAUAAUAGUAAAAGUGAUAACAAACAAGAAGAUAAUAGUAAUACUAACGAAAAAAAACAAGAAAAUAAUAAUACUAGUGAUAAAAAAGAAGAAAAUACACAAAACGAUGUGUCUGAAACUGCACAAAAUGAAAGAAGAAUUAAUAAAAAUAAUUUAACAGAUUACGGUACUUAUGAUAAAAAUGGAAAAUUCAUUCCUUCUUAUAAAACAUUAACUGAUGAAAUUCUAGCAACAAAUAGCGCAAUGGAAAGGGCUUCAACAUUUAUGAAGGUCGCUUGCUCACAUAUUUUGAAAAUUUUAGAAUUUAUACCAGAAUCUAAAUUAACUACUCAGUAUAUUAAAGUUGAAUCGAAAACUAUUUAUUUAAAAGAUAUUGUAGUCGAAUGUGAAAAUAUUUUUUUUAAUGUUGAAAAAUUGGUUAUGACUGUGAUUGUUCUUAAUUCGAAAGUUCAAAAAUAUGUAUAUGCUCAAAAUUAAUACUAAAACAUAUAUAUAUAUAUAUAUAUAACUGCAAUACAAAAACAUUAUAAGAAAAAGAAAGAAAAAAUGAAAUCUUACAAUUUUUAUUAAAAUAAAUAAAAAAAAAAAAAUUUAUAGCUGAUGAAA
This 1017-nucleotide long non-coding RNA is filed under the name Piliocolobus tephrosceles (Ugandan red Colobus). RNAcentral's name for it is "lncRNA (ENSPTEG00000010579.1)". The record is from RNAcentral. Lineage: Eukaryota; Metazoa; Chordata; Mammalia; Primates; Cercopithecidae.